This 974-nucleotide small RNA is filed under the name Cryptococcus neoformans H99. RNAcentral's name for it is "Cryptococcus neoformans var. grubii H99 hypothetical RNA". The record is from RNAcentral. Lineage: Eukaryota; Fungi; Basidiomycota; Tremellomycetes; Tremellales; Cryptococcaceae.
UCCAGGUUUGCUGUUUAUGUUGUUUUCUGUCGAAAUAAAAAAGCAUAAUUGUCUAACGAUAACAGUGGGUAAUUAACAGUAUUGCAGAUAGCUACUUGUGCCUUGAAACAUUGCUGUGUUCAGCUAUGGAUUUCCUCUUGUCACCUUCUAUUCCUUCAAACAGUCCCCCUUAUUUUCCCAUAUCUUCUCGUGCCUUGCAUGCUGUGUCAUAAAUGGGCCGUCCCCAACUGUCUGCUAGAUAUCAGAAAGUCGCUGGAACAUCUUCUUUACGACUUUGUCAACCUCUUCGUUGGCUGCUGUUCUAGCGACAGAAGCUAUGAUAUAGUGUGACAGUAGUCACAACCUUCCGAAACGGGCUGGUAGGGCAGUGAGGGAGCAUCCUUUGGCUUCAAAAUUGGGUGGCACAACGUGCUUAGCUAAGCAAAAACCACCGUCUCGGAAGCCACUGCCAAGUGGGAACCAUUCUUCUCGGAUGUUGCCUGAGAAGUGACCGUGGUAGGUAGUUAUGUCCUGAGCGAGGCGUAUACAGAGGAGGAGGACAUGUUGGGAUGGAUGGGAUCGCAGUUGGAAAUUUUCGUAAAUUCUUUGAUUUUGUCUCGCAAGGAGGCUCUGCGCCUCGUUGUCCUGCGACCAUUGCGCCCAGUAGUUUGGACCCGUUCUCUUGAAUGUCCUUCAGGCUCUUGAUCAAACUUCUGUCCUCAAUGAGUUUGAGCACAUGACUCUUGGAAGCUAGGAAGGACUUAGUUUAAUCAAGCGCUUUGUAGUCGGGCUGCAAUCAUCAGAGUAUGUAGUUAUUCGAUAGUGGAGUCCGAGGUUGCAUAGGAAGUUCGUUAAGCGUGGGAAAUAGGUCCAAGGAGAAGAAGAUAGGCCCAAAAGCUCUGUCUAGUGGACCCCUGGGAGGAAGAUGUCAAUAGUACAUGCCCGUCACAGAUCAGGAUGAACGGUUUACGGUAGGACUUUUUGCAUGCUUGGUA